Prosopis cineraria is the source of this 828-nucleotide long non-coding RNA. RefSeq lists it as uncharacterized. The transcript has 4 exons. The record is from RefSeq and is a predicted model, not a curated record. Lineage: Eukaryota; Viridiplantae; Streptophyta; Magnoliopsida; Fabales; Fabaceae.
CAGUGUUAAAAAGGCAGAAAAAACCCUGAUGGUCAAGUUUUCCACUCUUCCUCUUCUAAUGGUCUGGCAAUAUAUUCUCUCCAUGUUCUUCUCCUGUGCCUAUUUAAUGUUCUCUACAUCCCUUGCUAGUGAUGAUGAAACAAAUGCUCUUUUAAAGUGGAAAGCUAGCCUUGAUAACUAAAGCCAAGCUUCCUUGUCUUCUUGGACUAAUGGCUCUAAUCCUUGCAACCAUUAGGUAGGAAUUACCUAUGAUGAAUCCAUGUCCAUCUCCAUCAUGAAUCUCUAAGGUUUUGGUCUAAAAGUUUGACUGAGUAUGCUGUUGAAAAGAGAAAGUUUGUGGUCAAAAGGGCCAAACUUACAGCAGUGGUGGUUCCCCAAUUGCAGGAACGCCUUUGAUGGUUUGAUUGUUUCCACCAGGUGACAAGCGGAAGUAAUAGUAAAUAGUGAGUUUAAACAAGUGGAAUUAAAUAAUGAAUGAGAGAGUAGUGAUGAUUGAACAAGUCUUUUAUAGAUUCCUAUAUCUUAUGAGUUGCCAUUGAAGGAUGUUGUAGACAGGCGUCUUCCACCACCCACAAAGUUGCCGAUGAAGUGAUAUCAACUGCAAAAUGAGCACUUGCUUGCAUGAAUGAAAACCCACGUUCUCGUCCAACUAUGGAACAUGUAUCUAUGAAUCUUAUGAAGAGAAAGCCUUAUUUAGUAGACCAGUUUGACAUCAUCACACUAGGAAAACUUAUGAUUGUAUAUUGAACUUCUUAAGUGAAUUGUGCGACUCAUGGAUGUCUUGUGCUUUUUUGGCAUUCAAAUCCUAUAAAUUGUUGAUUUCUUGAA